UCCGAACCAGCUUCUUUAAUUCAAAUUUCUGAAAGUUUGUCUAGUUUUUUGUAUCCUUGCUUUUCAGUUUAUGAAUUUUUACUACCUAUCACUUUGCCAUGUUUAUUUUCUAUACUGUUGCUACUUGCUAUUGCUAGUGAGCUAUGUGAGAAGUAAAGCAUGGAAUUGAAGGAAUGUAUUUUGCACUUCCAUACCAGGAUUACUGUUUAGAUCAAACAGCAUUCUUAGAUCAAAGUAUACUAGUUUCUCUAUGGAGAUCUUUAACACACUUGAUAAGUAUUUUGUCAUUUUGAGAAGAGCAAGCAGGAGAAUCACCAUAUCUUUAUCAUGGUAAGGAUGGCCGCGUCGGCUCCCGCCCAGGCCGCUUCGGCCUCCACCCCCCACGCUUCGUCUUCCACCCCCUCCUUCGCCGGCGCCGCCCAUUGCCCUCCCCAGAGCCUCUCGCCGACACCCACCCCGGGUUCGGUGACCACCUUCCCGGCCGCCGCUCCCUUCCCGGCGGCCUCCUCUUCUCCCUGCGCGCCUGGUCCUAUUUCUUCGUCGUCCGCUGCUGCUGGGUCGUCUCUCAGAGCCGGGCGCUCCAAGGCACAGCGUUGGGCGGACUACGGCCCACUCUCGCCGGCGAGAAGGCUUCGUAUCGACGACCCCAUUGGUGCUGGUGGGACGACCGCCGCAAAGACCUUUUGUGCGGCUGUGCUUUCCCAGCCGGCGGCUCGUGCUCGGCCAGCGGCCUCCACCAACAUCGCAUCGGAGCGGCCCCUCCCGAUCGUGAGGCUGAAGAACUACCCCGAUAGCCAUCGACAGCCCAGAGCCACUACACCAUCAGACGCUGAGGGCUGGAUUAAAGUGGAGACAAGGUGGUCUCGUCGUCGUCGUCGAUUGGCUGAACGCCCCCGCCCUCCCUUUCCCCGUCGACUGGUCCCACUGGAUCUCCGGGGGAGGUGCUUCAAUUGCUUGGCGGUGUCCCAUCGUGCGGCUGAGUGCCGUCGUCCGUCUUGCUGCUUGCGCUGCCGACGGCCGGGCCACCGUGCUGCUGGAUGCCCUGGCGCCGUUCAAAAGCACGACGUGAUCAAAGCUUUGUCCGGCGGGCGCGCUGUGCGGGAACGUCUUGGCCUGCAACCACUCGUCGAUCAAAGGCUUGACGUGGCCAAAGCUCCGUCCGUCGGGCGCUCUGUGUGGGAGCGUUUAGGCAGACAACCUGUGGAGGCCUCACAACCGUUCUCUAAGCAAAGGCUGGUCUGGAGGAAGAUCGCCCCCCCAUGGAUCAAGGUCGACAAGCUGCUGCUGAGGAUGGGCCUGGACAGUCGUUGCAUCGUGGCAAGAAGGGUCGUCAUCGCACCAGGGGGAGAAGGCCCCGUUCUGGGGGCGCUGCUAGCGUGCCACCAGUGGAUGAUUUUUGCUUUGCUCGGCUACCCUCCCAUCAGCCGGCCGUGGUGAAGUCUGCAGGUUCGGCGACACGACCGGUUUGCGUCCUUGAGCGUGCAAGGGAUUUAACUCUGGUGGAGAACAAUCUUCGGCGGUGUGCUCUGUUUGUCAUGGUCAUUGGUUCGCGGCCGCCGGUGUCAGCUGAGCUUUUGGCGGCAGAAGUUGCAGCGGAGUAUGAUUUUGAUCCUGCAAGUUUUUCAGUUCACCGUUCAGCGCCUGAAGACUUCAUUAUUAUCAUGCAAAAUGAGCAAGCGGCGUUGCGUGUCUUCAACAACGGAGCUAUUCUCAACUCCCCUUCUGGUUCUUUCAAGUUCAUCAAGUGGUCAAAGCUUGCACACGCUGAAGCGGUUUCCCUCCCUUCCUUCGUGACAGUGAGUUUCGAGGGAAUCCCGCUGCACGCAUGGAGUCUGGAAACUGCAAGAAGUUUGUUGCGAGCGCACUGCACGGCUCUGGAGCUUCAUCCUGACACUGCUGCUCGUUUGGACUUCUCUUCCUUCAGGGUUCUUGGUUGGUGCCGGCAUCCAGAGCUCAUUCCGGCGGCUAUUGAUCUCUUGAUUCCGGAGCCGGUUCAGAGUUUUGAAGUGGGUACCACUGUGAAGCAUCUUCUUGCUUAUCGGGUGACGGCCUCGGUGUCUCUGAUCUCUCCGCCGGCGGGCGAUGUUUCCCCUCCUCUGUCGACGCCGGCGUCUGAUGAUGAUCAGGACACUAGGUCUCGUCGACGUCGCCUGCAACAAGCUUCUCCGGCAGGGCAGGGAGGCCCUGUUGGAGCGUUAGCCGUUCGGCGCCCCGUGCAUGAGAGGCUAGGGCCGCUGCCAAUCUGUCCCCGCCAUGUGGCUGUUUCACAGGAAGUGUUGGGUGGUGACCAACAGGAGGAUGAGUUGGGUGAUGACCAACAGAAGGAUCCCUCUAAUUUAGAGGAGCAUAUCACUGCUUUCAAGGAGUUAAAUAUUGGGGCUAUGCUUGAGUCGUCAGUGGAUAUUAAAAAGAGCAACGACAGGACAAAUGGUCAGGCCUGCAUGGUGGAGGCUGUGAUGACUCAUGUCUCUUUGGGUGCAGAUUCUAACCCCGGCCCACUUUCCCUGGUGGCUGGACCGUUUUUCAGCUCGGGGGUAGUAGCAGCGGCAUCGGGGCUGUCCGGUGGUGGCCCAUCUCACUCCUCCCUGCCAGGACCAUCUUCCCCCUCUUCACCCUUGAGGGCUCCGGCAGAUUCUUGCACUUUGGGAGGAUGCGAGAAGGAGCAGGCCAUACAUGUGCCACCCCCGAUAUCCCCGUCUCGGGUCACAGUCGACAUGGGUGGGCAGAAGUCAGCCUUGGUGGAUGUGCGAAAAAAUUCGCGUCGCCUCGCACGGAAAAGCCCCAUCAUUACAUAUUUUCGGCAGAGGAGGAAGAAGGACAGUCAACCAAAGCAGCUGUUGGACACGUCCACGCCCCCCCUACGGCUGCUAUAAAGUUUAUUGAUAGGCUGACCAAACCAGCAGGUGGGAUUCUGAGGGCGCCAGUCAGAAGGCCGCGACAAGGCAAAGCUACAGCCAAUGAGGUGGUUCCCCGACGCAGCAGAAGGGUCGCUGGAGUAGGAGUGGAGAGGCUACCUCCUCCUCCACCGGCCACGCAGGGCAAGAAGCGUAUCUUGAAGGAACUGGGUAUUGGGAAUGCUGAAGAAACUGAAAGUUUAAGGCCUGAAGACCUUGAUGAGUAUGCCAGGGUUUUCAGCACAGGGCUUUCAGAGGUGCAGAUCACGGCCAUGGCAGCGCUAUUUGGGUGGUCUAGGCCUAUGGAGAUGCUGCAAGGCGGACCAAUCUGCUGAUAUAUUGGGUGUCCCUCACUGGUAGUCGUUCUUCCUUCAUUCCUUAUGGAUCCCUCCAAAAUUCUAAUCUGGAAUGUACGAGGCCUUAAUGGGUCUGCUAGGCAGGAUGCUGUACGCACUUUGGUGGAUUCAGCUCGAGUUGAUGUGGUUUGUCUUCAAGAGACUAAAAUGGUGGAUGUUUCUCGGUUCCUUUUAUUGCGGAUGCUUGGACCAGCUUUUGAUAAUUUUGUUUUCCUACCUUCUAUUGGUGCUAGUGGUGGCAUCUUGGUAGCUUGGAAAAAUAGCAUUGGUGUUUGUGCUGGCAGUAGGGUGGAUGAAUAUAGCGUCUCUGUGAAUUUUCAUUCUAGCACCAGCUCUCCUUGGUGGCUUACAUGUGUGUAUGGUCCACAAGGGAACCGUGACAAGAUUCAGUUUUUGCAGUCUCUUAGAGAAGUAAGAGCUCUCUGUACUGGGCCGUGGCUUGUGCUCGGGGACUUCAAUCUGAUUUUAAGGGAGGAAGAGAAGAAUAAUAAUAACUUAGACCGUGCCAUGAUGGGUAGAUUCAGGAGAUGGGCAAAUGACUUGGCUCUUAAUGAAAUUCCGUUGAUUGGCCGGAAAUAUACAUGGUCAAAUGGGCACUCUAAUCCUACCCUGGUCAAAUUGGAUAGGGUUUUCUGCACAACAGAUUGGGAGGAACAAUUCCCAGAUUCUCUUCUCCAGAGCUCAGCCACGGAUGACUCCGACCAUUGCCCUUUGCUGCUUGGGUUUCAUGAUUUCAGCAGAGGAAAAGGGAGGUUUCACUUCCAAGCAUUCUGGACUAAGAUGGAGGGUUUUCUUGAUGUGGUAACUCAGGCCUGGGCGUCUGUUCCUGCAGGGCCUUGCCCACUUAUCACCUUGGCCAAGAAAUUAAAAGCAACGGCUAGAUGUUUGCAGAGCUGGAAUGACAAAAAAGUUGGGAAGAUUAAGCUGCAGCUUGAGAUGGCUAGGGAGCUCCUACAUCAAUUAGAGGUGGCGCAAGACAAUCACUCCUUAUCUCCUGCUGAAUUGUGGCUCCGAAACAUGCUCAAAAAGCACUCCCUUGCCCUCUCCUCUAUUUCUCGUACCAUGGCAAGGUUGAAAUCGCGGAUUGGAUGGCUCAAAGAAGGGGACGCCAAUACCUCUUUUUUCCAUGCACAAACAAGGUUCAGGAAGAAAAAGAAUUUCAUUGCAGCAAUUCACUCAGAGGAUGGGCAGAUCUGGACCGCUCAGGAAGGAAAGGCAGCAGCCUUCUUUAAUUUUUAUCAAUGGUUACUUGGUACUGCAGAAAUAAGGAAUGUUACAGUGGAUCUGGAUGCUCUAGGGAUGCCAUCUUAUGACCUUGCUGCCCUUGAUGUGCCUGUCUCGGAGGAGGAAGUCUGGGAUACAAUUAAGGCCCUUCCUUCGGACAAAUCCUCGGGUCCCGACGGGUUCACUGGUAGAUUUUACAAAAGCUGCUGGUCGGUAAUCAUGACUGAUUUCAUGGCGGCCGUUCACUGCAUUUGGGCUAGAAAUUUCAGAAACCUGGGUCCUCUGAAUUCAGCUUUCAUUACUCUUCUUCCCAAGGUGGAGGGGGCCACUAGUGUGAGGGAUUUCCGCCCAAUAAGUCUGGUUCAUAGUUUCGCGAAGUUGGUGACUAAAUUGUUGGCUAACCGGUUAGCAGGUCGGCUGCAAAAUAUGGUUUCCCCCAAUCAAACCGCUUUUAUUAAGAAACGGUUUAUUCUGGACAACUUUAUGCUAGUCCAGUAGACGACCAAAUUCCUACAUUGUCAGAAGCAGGCUCGUAUCCUUCUCAAGCUUGACAUUUCAAAGGCUUUUGACUCGGUUUUGUGGGCCUUCCUUCUCGAGGUCUUGAAAAAACUUGGUUUUGGACAGAUCUGGUGUGAUAUAAUAAGUGGGCUGUUAGCUACCUCUUCUACCAGGAUUUUACUAAAUGGUCUGCCAGGGGAAUGGAUUGGGCAUCAACGCGGGCUGAGGCAGGGUGAUCCACUAUCGCCUAUGUUGUUUAUUCUUGUAAUGGAUGUCUUGAAUCUGCUUGUGCAGCGAGCUUCUGAGGAAGGGCUUCUUCAACCUCUCUCUUCAAGGAAUAUGCAGCACCGUAUCUCGCUGUACGCGGAUGACGCAGUGAUAUUUCUAUGUCCGACUGCCCCAGACAUCAGUAUGGUUAUGGAUAUUCUUCAUUUAUUUGGUUCAGCUUCGGGUCUAAGGACUAAUAUCCAGAAGAGUAGUGUGUUCCCAAUCUGCUGUGGGGAAGAAGAUUUGAAUUGUUUACAAGACUUGCUGCCAUGUAAUAUUUCAGAUUUUCCAUGUAAGUACCUUGGUCUGCCUUUGUCUCCCAAGAAACUCACAAGGGACCAGGUUCAGGCCAUCGUUGAUAGAGUAGCUAGCCUUCUGCCAGGAUGGAAAGCUGAACUUAUGACCAGGGCUGGUAGAGCUAUUCAUGUGCAGUUUGUCAUGACGGCAAAGAUGAUUUAUGCAGCUUUGGCACUCGACCUUCCUGUUUGGGCCAUCAAAGCUAUUGAUAAGCUGAGGAAGGGCUUCCUCUGGAGGGGCAGGAAAGAGUUCCGUGGUGGUCAUUGCCUCUUGGCUUGGCCUAAGGUUACCCGUCCCAAGGAGCUGGGUGGUCUUGGGAUUAGUGAGCUAAAGAACCUAUGUUGGGCUCUGAGAGCUCGUUGGCCAUGGCUGCAGAAAACAGACCCCAGUAGGCCUUGGACGGACUUCCCCACUCGUGUAUGUAAGGUGGUUAAAAAUCUGAUCGCUGCAGCCAUUGUUACUAAGCUCGGUGAUGGAGCCAAUACCCUCUUCUGGAAGGAUAGAUGGUUGGAUGAGAAAUGUAUUAAGGACAUAGCUCCUGCAGUGUUUGAUUUGGUGCCCCUGCGUCUUGCCAACAGACGGUUGGUCAAAGAUGCGCUCCCUAAUUUUCAGUGGAUCUCCGAUGUGAAUGGGGCAAUUUCAGUUAGAGUCAUUGCUGAAUUCUUGGAACUUUGUGAAGUGCUUGAUGCAGUUGUGCUCCAACCUGGAAUAAGGGAUCACCACUUAUGGAAAUUCAGCGCUUCAGGGGAGUAUACAACUAGUUCUGCUUAUAAAGCUCUCUUCCUUGGUUCGGUUCAGUUCGAACCAGCAGAACGUGUGUGGAAAUCUUGGGCUCCUGGAAAGUGCAAGUUCUUUAUAUGGCUUGUGGAACAUAAUAGGUGCUGGACUGCUGACAGGCUUAUAAAAAGAGGACUAGACCGACCUGAGCAGUGCCCCCUGUGCGACCAAGAGGCUGAAACCAUGAAUCAUUUGCUGGUCAAAUGUGUUUUUGCCAAACAGUUCUGGUUUCAUUUCCUUAGUUCAGUGGGGCUGCAGGAACUGUGUCCAGUUCAUGAGGAUUCCUUUGAGUCGUGGUGGAAGUCUAGCAGCUCUCGGGCAUCUGAUUUUUUGAGAAAAGGUUUUAAUUCUUUAGUGAUCCUAGGUGCUUGGACCAUUUGGAAGCAUAGGAAUAGAUGCGUCUUUGAUGGUUGUAAUCCCAGCCUGGUCACAGCCCUUAGAGUGGCUAGGGAAGAGGCGGUGCUAUGGUCCUUGACUGGAGCCAAGGCCCUGUCCUUCCUCCAAGUUGAUGAGUUGCUAGCUUAGAUCAGCGUUGUGGGUCGUGUUUCCUCCAUGAUAGUCGGUGAUCCUUAGUUAGUCUUUAAGUGGUGUGUGUGUUCUGUACCGGGGUUCUAUCCCCCUUUCCUAUUCUUCUAUUAAUGCAAUGAUGCGCAACUCUCCUGUGUAUUCCAGAAAAAAGAAGAGCAAGCAGUAUUACAUUUAGUGGGGUUCACUUGGACUGGCAAUGUAGAAUUGUAAAUUUGUAAUUAGCUAUAUUACCCAAUAGGUCAAUACUCUAAUUCCGAAACAAAACUUUUGUGUGAUGAUUUUUAGGGGGAGGGGGCAUCAUUAAACUUAGACCCACAUACCCUAACAGAGCCAUGUCUUAGCACUUAUUAGAUAGUCACUGAUCCUGAUAUGUUCCUAGUUUUGGUUUCUCAACAACAGAUUCAUUCUUUCAGUAGUGCCUAUGAACCAUAAGAGUACUUUUGUAAGAAAUUGGAUGCUGUUUGAUUGUUUUUUCUUAAUAUAUUAAUUCUUAAAACUUGACUUAGCCUCUGUGUAUUGUAUUAAGAAGAUGUUCUCAUGCAGGUUAAGAAAAUCUUUGAACCCAUGUUCCAUCCAUACACAAUGGCACCAUAGCCUAUGUAAGAACGACCACGACUGAGGCCAGGCCUUAGGCCUAUGCUUUAGCGUAGGAUAUAUGAGGGGAUUUUUAACCCUAGCCUUAAAUUCGUUUCUACAUGGAGUUGAAAUCAGGAGAGUGCUACCUAGACCAUAUAACCAACUCAGCUAGAGGCCCUUUCUUAAUCUAUUAAUUCUUAUGAAUCAUAUAUGAUACUAUAUAUGGUUAAAAAAUCAGAUGAAAAGGUUCAUUCUCAUGUCAAUUAAUAUAUGCAAUGGAUAGAUAAACUCUAAAUUUGCCCAACAAGAUCUAAGACCGGCUCCAACAAUGCACUGUAAACCGUUCUCAACUCUAAAUUUAGGGUUCAGACUGGUACUCUAGGCGCCCAGCAAGGCACUCUAAAUGGCACUCUAAAUUAUAGAGGACGCCGCACGCACUCUAGAUGUGGAGACUUCCAGGUGUCCGCUAUCCGGGCGAGGGUUCGGGCUCCCGCGGUGGUGAAAAAUCCGGAUGCGCUGUUGUCCCGUCGCUGGCGACUUCGAUCCAUCUCGGCGAGGGGGCCUCGCGGCGCGACUCGUCGGCGGAGCCGGCCAAGCUGGGCUCCAAGAGGCCGUGCGCGAGCGGGUCCGGCGGCGGACCGCUCUCGGUGGCUGGAGGCAAGGAGGUGGCCGGCGACGAGACAAAGAUCCAAGACUCGGGUGCAACCGUCGGUGUUCGUCGACGUCGAACCGCCAUCGCGAAGAAGCUGAGAAGAUCCACGGCGCCGACGAAGGAAGGUGCGGAGAAACGCAAGCGCAUCUCGUCGCCGCCAUCGUCAUCGUCUUCCAUUCGGUCGGGUGCUCCAGAUCCGAAGAGAAAAAGCAUGGGUACGGACUGGAACCAAGUUAUGGCACAAUAUGGCACUUUCCUAUCCAAGGAUGAUGGCACUCAGUUUCAGAACACUGCAUUUGCUCCUCUGCCUGAUAUACCAGCCCAGGGCUCACCAGCAGCACCUCUAGUGAAGAAGGCUCCUCAACGCACAAAGCUAGCAAAUUUCACGUCUGAAGAGGAUAUGAGGGUUUGUCAAGCUUGGUUGGCUGUGAGUUGUGAUCCCAUUGUCAACACUGGUCAGAAGCGUCAAGGAUUUUGGAAUCGGAUUACAGAGGCAUACAACUCUCGCAGAGGAUCAAUGCCAGAGAGGUCUAUGAAAUCUCUCAUGAGCAGGUGGGACAGUAUCAAAACUCAAUGUUCUACCUUUGCUGGAUACAUGAUGGCUGUGCUUCGACAAAACCCAAGUGGCAUGACUGAUGCAGAUAAGACUUCUCUUGCGGCUACUCGGUUUGCUGCUGUUGAAAAGAAGCCCUUCCAUUUCUUACAUUGUUGGUCCAUAUUGAAGGAUCAACCAAAAUGGAUGGACCAACACAUGGGUAACCAAAAUCCUCCACCCAACCCAAUUGGUACCCAAUCAAAUACUAUUGACUUAGAUGGUGCUGAAGACUCAGGUCCAUCAAGCUUUACUUCGAAGAGACCGCUUGGUCGUGAUUCAUCCAAGGAAAAGGCAAAGAAGCAAAGAUCUGAGAACACAUCAUCCACUGAUUCUGAGUACCUAACACGGAUGGGUGAGCUUUCUUUGGAACGGUUAUCUGUCUACAAAUCAGUAGCUUCAACUGAGGAGAAGAAGUUGGAGUCCAUGAACAAACAUGAGAGGCAGAAACUGAUAUUGGAGAGGAAGAAGCUAAAUUUAGAGAAACUGAAGAUGGAACGACAAAAGGUGAAGGAGGACACGGAACAGGAAGUUCUGAUAUUGAGCAUGGAUUUGACUAAAUGUAACCCCCUACUUCGACAGUACUACGAGGCUAAACAACAGGAGAUUCUCGCAAGGGUUACUGGAACCUCGUCGUCAAGCAAGUAAACGUUGAGCAAGGCAUUGUAGUGGUUGAGGAAGUACUGUUAUUUGUUUUCGAGAACAAGUUAAUGUUUCUGCACUUCCGCACUUGACAAUUUUCUGUUGUGUGAUGUUUGAACUCUGUCAUGUUGCUUAAUAAUAGUAGACUUGUUAUUUCAUUCGUCAA
Molecule: non-coding RNA, 9469 nt
Organism: Zea mays
Lineage: Eukaryota; Viridiplantae; Streptophyta; Magnoliopsida; Poales; Poaceae
Source: RefSeq, a predicted model, not a curated record